GCUCUGGGUGUAUGCUCGGUGGCUCCUCUGCCUCUGAUUUCUAGGACUUGAAGAGAAAUGACGGUCCCUGGCUGCUGCAUUUAAUUGGACAGGAGCACAGAGACUGAGACUGUAAUUAUGACGUCUUAAAUGUCAAACUCUUCAAAAGUCUGCUGUGCCCUCGCUGUCACCCUGAACAGCUCUGGGAACCAAAGCCUCGUACCCCCUCCCCUGCCCCUGAGCUCGUCCUGGGUCUCAGCCAGGCUUCACCUGGGAAAUCUGAGUGACAGCGACGCGCAGGCGGCUGGAAGACGCACAGUGAGCCAGGAGCCUGUGAUGAGCUCAGAAGAGGGUCUCACUAUAUGGUUCAGGCUGACCUUGAACUCACUGUGUAGCCCAGGUUGGCCUCAAACUCGUAACAAUCCUCCUGCCUUAGCCUCCCAAGUGCUGGGAUUACAGGCAUCCGCCACCACGGCAGGCUGGGAUCCGGUUUUCUUACCAGUAAAAUGGGGAUAAUAACAGAAGCUGCCUCACCAGGUCCGGGUGAAGAGUAAUAGAUGUAACAUGCAAGGUAGAAAUGUCUGGCACGUGGAGAGCUCGACAACAGGUCUCAGUAGAGGCCCCCUGGAUGUCACACCCGGGCACACAGUGAGGUGCCGUGAUGUGUCCUGAUACAACUGCCUCUGCUCCACCACGGUGAUCGCGCUGGGAGGCGGGAGAGAUCUGCAGCUACUGGGGUGGGGAGAACGAUUUGGAACGUGGUCUUCGUGAUGCUCCCCCAGGUUGACUGACGAAGAGGAGGAUGAAGCGUUGGGAGCCAUCCCGUCGGCAGAGUGCAUCUGGCCGGUCACAUAAGUCAGGAAGACUCGAUUCAGCCGACAAAUAUUCUGUGCACCUCCCUGGAAGUGCACUGUUGUGCAAGAAGUGGUUUGGCAGGGAUUCUCUCCUUUCAGCUGCAGGCCAUGGAGGGCAGGAGGCCUCUGCUUGCCAAGGAGGAGAGGCCAUAGGACGAAGGCUCCGUCUGGCCUGAGCUUCUGCAGAGUGUGCCCGAAUCCGGCUGCAGGGGCAGUUGGGGGGGGGGGGGCGCGAGCACAAACCUCUUCCCUCAGGGCAGGCAAGGUGCUGAGCUCCUGUCACAGUCCUGCCACAGCCACCUCUGGUGCUCAUGGCUGGUUUGGAGCAAUAUGCCAAGAUGUCGUUUUGUCUAUUUGGUUUGCUUUUUCCUUUAAAAUUUAUAAAAUGUGAUGGUAACAUGUAGCCAAGCUUGGUGGCGCAUGACUGUAAUACAAAUGCCCCCCCUGCUCUCUCCCUCAUGCCAGGGAUUGCACCCAGGGCCUUGUGCAUGCUGAGCAUGUACUCUGCCCCUGAGCUACAUCCCCAUGUCAUGUUUUGUUUGUUUGAGACAAGGACUCACUAUGUAGUUCAGGCUGGCCUCGAACUCAGAGUGAUCCUCCUGCCUCAGCCUCCCGAGUACUCGGAUUACAAACUUGUGCCACCACGCCUAGCUCCCAUGUCAAAUGUUUACAACUGAAGUUCUAUCUUUAGAAAAUUGAGAAGUGGUCUAGUCUAAGGCAAUGAAAGGCAGAGGUAACCCGGACUGGUAAACUAUUCAGGACACCCACUACAUUUCGCCAUCUCCCAUGAGUUCUCUAACUUGGACUUGGCUCCCUGCCUCCAUGCCUCCCAAGCUCCCCCCAGGCCCCAUCCCUGCAGCCCUGCUUGGACCCGCUGACCCCAUCCCUUCUUCCAGGCCCUGGUGAUGGCCCCAGGCUGAAACCUAGGCCAGCAGAGCCAGCUCAUCCCCAAGGUGAAGCCAAGCAAGUGCUUGAGGCUUUGGCUGCCUGCUUCCUGAGGGAGCUCAGGGUUGUGAGUCAGGCUGACUCAGGCUGAUGGUCAUGAGAGGCCUUGUGAGCUGGUCACGGGCCUUGUGAGAAGGGGAACCAAUGAGAAAACCCUGUGGUCCAGAGAGAAAGACAGCUGUCCAGUGAGCCCCUAGGGGACCUCCUGCACCUGGAGUCCCACUCUUGUCCCAGCCGGCAUGGGUGGCUGUCUACCGAGAACAGCCACAGCCCAGUGACCUGGGGGCUGGGGGGUGCGGCUGCCCCGUCCCCAGGCACAGGAGUUUCCCACAUCCCGGGAGGCAGGCAGGGAGCAAGGUGGUCUGUUCCAGAGCAGAGAGCAAAUGCCUGACUUGCGCCACUCCCUGGGACAGUGGUUACCCUUGAACAGCUUUUCUCGGUAGAGUACUUGCCUAGCACCGGCAAGGCCCUAGGCUUGACCUCCAGCACUACAAAAAGAAAAAAAGAAAAAAUAUAUCUAGGGGUAGGGCAAGGAGGGAAAAGAAGAUAGAAAAGAAGGAAAUGUUUCUUCCUGGCUCACCUCCCAAGGCCCUGAGGGACGGCCCGUGAGAGCCCGAGUCA
Heterocephalus glaber (naked mole-rat) is the source of this 2399-nucleotide non-coding RNA. NCBI's taxonomy places the organism in Eukaryota, Metazoa, Chordata, Mammalia, Rodentia, Bathyergidae. The record is from RefSeq and is a predicted model, not a curated record.